CUAUUAGGAUGACAAUAUUUUUUUGUCAGCAGCAGCUCACCUAAUAAGUGCUGAUGCUUUGGGUCUGAGUGA
Small nucleolar RNA from Cebus imitator (Panamanian white-faced capuchin), 72 nucleotides. RefSeq annotates it as small nucleolar RNA SNORD56. The transcript has a single exon. NCBI's taxonomy places the organism in Eukaryota, Metazoa, Chordata, Mammalia, Primates, Cebidae. The record is from RefSeq and is a predicted model, not a curated record.